AGAACGAACGCUGGCGGCAGGCCUCAAACAUGCAAGUCUAGGGGGUGUAGCAAUACAUCACCGGCGGACGGGUGCGUAACACGUGGGAAUAUACCUUUUGGUUCGGAACAACGCAGGGAAACUUGCGCUAAUACCGAAUGUGCCCUUACGGGGAAAGAUUAAUCGCCAAAGGAUUAGCCCGCGUAGGAUUAGCUAGUUGGUGAGGUAAUGGCUCACCAAGGCUCCGAUCCUUAGCUGUUCUGAGAGGAAGAUCAGCCACACUGGGACUGAGACACGGCCCAGACUCCUACGGGAGGCAGCAGUUGGGAAUCUUGGACAAUGGGGAAACCCUGAUCCAGCCAUGCCGCGUGAGUGAUGAAGGCCUUCGGGUUGUAAAACUCUUUCGACGGGGACGAUAAUGACGGUACCCGUAGAAGAAGCUCCGGCUAACUUCGUGCCAGCAGCCGC
This 447-nucleotide ribosomal RNA is filed under the name uncultured bacterium. RNAcentral's name for it is "SSU rRNA". It matches the Rfam family "Bacterial small subunit ribosomal RNA", at positions 26 to 518 of the family's 1533-position model. The record is from RNAcentral.